RNAcentral lists this transfer RNA (108 nucleotides) under Promethearchaeota archaeon. Its description in RNAcentral is "Candidatus Lokiarchaeota archaeon tRNA-Arg". It matches the Rfam family "tRNA". Rfam says of the family: Transfer RNA (tRNA) molecules are approximately 80 nucleotides in length. Their secondary structure includes four short double-helical elements and three loops (D, anti-codon, and T loops). Lineage: Archaea; Promethearchaeati; Promethearchaeota. The record is from RNAcentral.
GGGUUCGUAGUCUAGCCAGGAAUUCUGAAAAAACUUUUCAGUUUCGGUAAAUAGGGCUCUGGCCUUCGGAGCCAGCUAUCGUAGGUUCGAAUCCUACCGGACCCGCCA